This is a non-coding RNA of Arabis alpina (gray rockcress), 77 nucleotides long. The record is from Rfam. Lineage: Eukaryota; Viridiplantae; Streptophyta; Magnoliopsida; Brassicales; Brassicaceae.
UACCAAUGAUGGAAUUCAAAUAAUCAUCAGAUCUGAUGUGUUUAACACACUUGAUUACAAAUCUUGAUGCUGAGGUU